GAGUUUGAUCUUGGCUCAGAUUGAACGCUGGCGGCAUGCCUUACACAUGCAAGUCGAACGGCAGCACGGGUGCUUGCACCUGGUGGCGAGUGGCGAACGGGUGAGUAAUGCAUCGGAACGUACCCGGAAGUGGGGGAUAACGUAGCGAAAGUUACGCUAAUACCGCAUAUUCUGUGAGCAGGAAAGAGGGGGAUCGCAAGACCUCUCGCUUUCGGAGCGGCCGAUGUCGGAUUAGCUAGUUGGCGGGGUAAAGGCCCACCAAGGCAACGAUCCGUAGCGGGUCUGAGAGGAUGAUCCGCCACACUGGGACUGAGACACGGCCCAGACUCCUACGGGAGGCAGCAGUGGGGAAUUUUGGACAAUGGGGGCAACCCUGAUCCAGCCAUGCCGCGUGAGUGAAGAAGGCC
This 407-nucleotide ribosomal RNA is filed under the name uncultured beta proteobacterium. RNAcentral describes it as "bacterial SSU rRNA". It matches the Rfam family "Bacterial small subunit ribosomal RNA", at positions 9 to 416 of the family's 1533-position model. The record is from RNAcentral. Lineage: Bacteria; Pseudomonadati; Pseudomonadota; Betaproteobacteria.